UGGCAUCAUACUCAAUCUGACCUGGCAGCCCAACAAUACAGCCCAUUUAUCGUUCUAGAUUUAGGCCCAUGUAGUCAAUUGUUUAUUGGGCCUUCACCAGUUUCCAAAUAUUUUAAUAUUCUUUAUACAUUGCCAUUCAUACACAUUUAUUAUGCUUGCACGUUCUAGAUUAUUAUCAGCCUUUGCCUGUUCCAACCCAUCUUCGGCCAAGAUUGCCCAGCAUUUGAUCCACACAAAGAAAGUAAGGAAUCUCCAUUUAGCAAAAAAAACAAUAAUAUAAUGCACAACUACAGAUUCACAACUACAAAAUUCAGACCACCAUAGCAGAUUACAAUUACAUCUCACAAUCACACCAGACAUUUAGAUACAUAUAAUAUGUGUGUCGUGUUCCCUGUCUUAAGUGUAGGAUCAUUUGUUCCAUCCCAAGUCAUGUUACCCUUCAAAACGAAACUAGUGUAAUAUCUUCUGUUCUACCUCAAUUACCUGCAAGAGAAUAUCAGAAAACAAAUUGUGAGAACUAUUAGCAUGAGGAAUAAAUUAUGGGAAACAUUCAUCCAAACCUUUAUUUAAAAUGAUAGUGAUUAGCUCGCCUGCAAUAAAAUGACAGGAAAAAGGAACAAUAUACAGCAACAUCACAUUUUUCAGUCAACAUGCCCAUUUUAGCAGCAAUCAAACAAGGAUUUUGGCAUGCAAAAAGAAACAUAUGCACGUCCUAGUAUCACACAGAAAGAAAUCAAAUAUGAAUAUUAGCAGUGAGAUGGUUGGUGGAACAUCUAUCCUCACAGAUUACCGCAUAAAUCAGUUGAUAUAUGUGGAUAGACCAAAUCUUUACCAAGACAUUUGAAAUAAAUGCCCUAUUGAAACAAAGAACAUGAAUAGAUUAAACAUGUACAUUUCAGUCAACAUGUUUGUUGAGAUAGAUAUAUAAAAUAUUUCACAUAACCACUACGUAAAAUGAUUAAAUAUAUACAUUGAACCAUAAUCCAGAGCAAUAGUAUUCGCUACAAAAUGUUUUCCUUAAAAGGCCAACAACUCAAAAAGAACACAGGUAAAAAGCAGUAUCAGAAGCAACUUUACUGAUAGAGUGACAAUGUAGUGAAAGCAAGAUACUUGGUUCAAAUAAACACAAAUAAUGGUCUAAAUUAUUUUUGUUCCCAGUUUAAUCAAUCAUAUUUACUUUUGGCUAAAAAUUAUUGACAGGUUGCUUAAAAUGGAUGUAACUCGAUCAUGUGCAUGGUAUGGGAAUUCCCAUGGGAAAUCUUCUGCCAUACAAUGCCCUUGGUUGUGUCAGUAAAUCGAUUGUAAAUUAAACUCACUUCUAAGACUAAGAGGCUCCGCACACAUUCAGGAUCUCAAACUGAAUUCUGCACUACGAGGUUGAUACUUUUUGAGUUGCUUGGCUCAACUUUUGUGAUCUCUAUCAUUGUUUGUAGAUAUAUUUUCAUAUAUUUUCUUAACCAUAUAGCAUUUUUAAGAUGAUGGAACAUAUCAGCAAGCUUCAUCUUUUAAACAAGCUGAAUCAGAGAGUCGUAAUGACCACAUAAUCCGAGUGGUGUAUUAUCAUAAAAAGAAAUACGUACUGAGCAAUAGAGAACAAUCAAGAACGAUAGAUAGAUACAAGGAUUUGCAACUGAAUCAGAGAAACAUCAUGACCACAUAGUACUGAGUGGUGUUUUCUCAUAAAAAGUAGGUACUGAGCAAUAGAGAACAAUCAGGAACGAUAGAAAGAUUCAAGGAUUUGCAACUGAAUCAGAGAAUCGUCCUGAUCGCGUAGUGCUGGGCGGUGUUUUCUUAUAAAAAGAAAUAUGUACAGAGCAAUAGAGAACAAUCAGGAACGGUAGAUAGAUACAAGGAUUAUAAGCAUCACAGUAAAGUAAUUGGUAUAGAGUAAAUGUUUGCAAUCAGCAUUUUGUCAAAAUAGGCAUGCAACUAUAAAAAUACCAUUUCAGAUUUUACAUAUCAUGCAUCCACCGUGAACAAAACAAACAACUCUAUCAAACUAGGUGUUACAGCAAGCAAUAAAGUAAGUAUAAAAUGGAAACAAGCAAGCGCACACACACACACACUACGACGAUACAAAAAGCACAAAGAAGAUAUUUAAGGAUUGGCAUUGCUAUACACACAACAACUGCAUGCCCGAUGCUUGCACAAUUCUGCCAUGGCAGCGCCAACAGCGAGCAUGCUGGCAAGAGCGCUGUUGGUCAGGGAACAUCGUUCGUAGGUCGUGCAGCUAUUGUCGUGUGUGAAGCUAUUUCUUUUAAGGAUAUGAACGUCUGGACAAAGAAGGAUACAUAGUUUGUAGUGCUAGCUAAUUAUGUUGUACUGCAGAAGUAGUUUCGACUGACCUUUCUGUAUUUUUCUCCUCUGUUCUUCAGAAGGCUCUAUUUCAUCAACACAUUUGAUGUCAUUAACCGCACCCUCGACUUCAGUUAUCUCCUCCACCUAUAGAAUAAUAAUUGGAACUUUAGUGGAACUAUUCCAUGGAGAAAACAAAUAAAUCUUGUGUUUUAGUUGAAGUAUCCCUAUAGUUACUCCUACAUAGGAUUCCCUCAAUAAUUUAUUCCAGCUUUAAGCAUACCAUCUUUUCAGUUUCAUAUAUACUCUACAUCAUAAUUUGAUCCAUCUCAAUGAUGUAAAUCUGUAAACUAGAUUGACACACAUAAACACAUCACGACCUCAGAAACUAUGUGAGCACCCCACAUAUAUUUGUUACACGUACAUGUUGAUGAAGAAAAGAUGUAAAUAAAUCUCUACAUUUAAAAAAACAGUCACACAAACGUUUAUGCAAAAUAUGGAACGUAAUACAUCAUCUUGGUAUCUUUCCAAAACAAUUAGUCCCAGCCACAAAAGUUACUUCACUGCAAAGCACUAUCCUGACAUCCUAAAUAGAUAAUUCUUCAAUUAAUGGAGAGUGAAAAGGGUUCUCACCUUCACAGCAAGUGGUCCGGCGAGGUCACCUGUGGCGAUGCAAAAAAGGCCAAGGAGUGCCGAAGAAAACAGCGGCCACCCCCUCCUUUCCCAGCGCGAGAUUGUGAAGGAGACGGAGUGUCGAGGCAGCCGUCCUUGGUCCUGGCCAGCGGGUAGGCGAGAACGUUUAUCUCGCCGACCUCAACCACCUUCCUCGACCACCACACCCAUGAAGACGAGCAAGGGGCUGACCUUGACGCGGAUGCCGGAGCGCCGCUACCGCCGCGGGUGCCCCCAUCGCAGAUCUGAGUAGGCUGCAUAGGGGGAGAGGGUGGGGCGGUGGAGGAGCGAUAGAUGGUGGGAGACGAAGAUGGAGCGGGAGAUCGUUGGGACGGCGGCGCGGGAGAUCGAGGGUGUGGCAGCCGCGCUGGGAGGGAGGCUGGGCAUGGAUCUGAAUCGGGAACAGGGAGGGAGAGGAGUCGGCGGCUGUAGGUGGAGAUGGAUUAGGGUUUCCGUGGUCGUGGGGAGAGAGGUGCGAGGCUGUGGCCUCUCGGGCUGGUGGGCUGUGGAGUUAAAUGGGUUGGCU
RNAcentral lists this long non-coding RNA (3493 nucleotides) under Triticum aestivum (bread wheat). RNAcentral's name for it is "long non-coding RNA (TAES_LNC014203)". Lineage: Eukaryota; Viridiplantae; Streptophyta; Magnoliopsida; Poales; Poaceae. The record is from RNAcentral.